GACGAACGCUGGCGGCGUGCCUAAUACAUGCAAGUAGAACGCUGAAGGAGGAGCUUGCUUCUCUGGAUGAGUUGCGAACGGGUGAGUAACGCGUAGGUAACCUGCCUGGUAGCGGGGGAUAACUAUUGGAAACGAUAGCUAAUACCGCAUAAUAGCAGUUAUUGCAUGAUAACUGUUUGAAAGGUGCAAUUGCACCACUACCAGAUGGACCUGCGUUGUAUUAGCUAGUUGGUGGGGUAACGGCUCACCAAGGCGACGAUACAUAGCCGACCUGAGAGGGUGAUCGGCCACACUGGGACUGAGACUCGGCCCAGACUCCUACGGGAGGCAGCAGUAGGGAAUCUUCGGCAAUGGACGGAAGUCUGACCGAGCAACGCCGCGUGAGUGAAGAAGGUUUUCGGAUCGUAAAGCUCUGUUGUAAGAGAAGAAACGAGUGUGAGAAGUGGAAA
Molecule: ribosomal RNA, 449 nt
Filed under: Streptococcus mitis
Lineage: Bacteria; Bacillati; Bacillota; Bacilli; Lactobacillales; Streptococcaceae
Description: bacterial SSU rRNA
Rfam family: Bacterial small subunit ribosomal RNA
Source: RNAcentral